This 580-nucleotide ribosomal RNA is filed under the name uncultured Staphylococcus sp. Its description in RNAcentral is "bacterial SSU rRNA". It matches the Rfam family "Bacterial small subunit ribosomal RNA", at positions 102 to 669 of the family's 1533-position model. Lineage: Bacteria; Bacillati; Bacillota; Bacilli; Caryophanales; Staphylococcaceae. The record is from RNAcentral.
ACGGGUGAGUAACACGUGGAUAACCUACCUAUAAGACUGAGAUAACUUCGGGAAACCGGAGCUAAUACCGGAUAAUAUAUUGAACCGCAUGGUUCAAUAGUGAAAGACGGUUUUGCUGUCACUUAUAGAUGGAUCCGCGCCGCAUUAGCUAGUUGGUAAGGUAACGGCUUACCAAGGCAACGAUGCGUAGCCGACCUGAGAGGGUGAUCGGCCACACUGGAACUGAGACACGGUCCAGACUCCUACGGGAGGCAGCAGUAGGGAAUCUUCCGCAAUGGGCGAAAGCCUGACGGAGCAACGCCGCGUGAGUGAUGAAGGCCUUCGGAUCGUAAAACUCUGUUAUUAGGGAAGAACAAAUGUGUAAGUAACUAUGCACGUCUUGACGGUACCUAAUCAGAAAGCCACGGCUAACCACGUGCCAGCAGCCGCGGUAAUACGUAGGUGGCAAGCGUUAUCCGGAAUUAUUGGGCGUAAAGCGCGCGUAGGCGGUUUUUUAAGUCUGAUGUGAAAGCCCACGGCUCAACCGUGGAGGGUCAUUGGAAACUGGAAAACUUGAGUGCAGAAGAGGAAAGUGGAAUUC